Non-coding RNA from Arachis ipaensis, 194 nucleotides. Lineage: Eukaryota; Viridiplantae; Streptophyta; Magnoliopsida; Fabales; Fabaceae. The record is from RefSeq and is a predicted model, not a curated record.
UGGCCAAGACUUGUGCUUUCCUAAGAAGAAUGAAUAUUCUCAUAGAAAAUUUCGAAGCACUAAUGAUGUAGUUUUGGGGGAAAUGAAGAAAGACUACAUGCUAUAUGGAGGGAAGGGCAUUACCAGAAAUUAGUCUAGUUAAAUAAAUGUCUAUACGAAUGCUAAAGAUUGUCAUAUAUGCUGUUAAGUUAAUG